ACACUCGGCUCCGCAGCCGGGCCCCGAGCGAGCUCCGCGAGUCCUGGCGAGAGCCGAGGGCUCCCCGGGUUCAAAGGGCCGCAGCCCCGAGGGAACGCCCUCCUUGCUGUGCCCCGGGGGGCAGAAGCGGACUGCUGGGCGGUGGGACCGGCCUGGGCCACGGCUUAGUAAUUCUGACUUUUGAAAUCUCCUGUCGUGAACAAAUCUACACUGCACUUUAUUUCUUGCCCCGUCCUGGAAUUCAGCCACUCCUGCACUACAUUUCUUAAGGUGAAGAAGUGAAAGACGAAGACACCAAUCCAAGUGAACGUGUGUUAUUCUCUUCUAUAAUGCUAUUGUAUUAUAUUCCCUCUUUUUUUUAAAUUCUCUUGAUUUCUCUGCACAAAAGAGGGAAAUUCUUCCAAAGCAACGGAAAGUUUCCUUGAAAUACUUUUAUCUAGUCACACUUACAUAGUGUAAUGUCUCUCUCUUACAGCAUUGUACAGUUUGGGAUUUGUUUUUAAUCCUGUGGAAAAUGUCCUAACAGGGCUUUGGUGUAUCUUUGUUCCAAUUUCUACAUUGCUUGGGGAGGGGGAGAAGCUUUCUUUGUAUUAAAUGAAAUACACCACUACUUCAUUAAAUAAAUAGACACCUCAACCAUUAGUUGCUAAUGAAACAAAAAUCUAAGUAAAACAUCUAACUAUCCAAAUACUACAUUUUCUCUACCUUUGCCCCAAAAUGUGCCUCAUCUCCCUGCACCUCCAAAUAAUAUUUCUAGUGUUUUCAUUUUAUUAGUUUUGCAAUGUCACUGUCCAGAUAGAAUUAUUCGAUGACUUAAAACAACUUUCGUAAGAUUUUCAAGCCCUAAAUUAAAAAAUCAUAUUUCAAUACAA
Molecule: long non-coding RNA, 872 nt
Filed under: Homo sapiens (human)
Lineage: Eukaryota; Metazoa; Chordata; Mammalia; Primates; Hominidae
Description: novel transcript
Source: RNAcentral